UAGGGAAUAUUGCACAAUGGGGAAGACCCUGAUGCAGCGACGCCGCGUGAAGGAAGAAGUAUCUCGGUAUGUAAACUUCUAUCAGCAGGGAAGACAAUGACGGUACCUGACUAAGAAGCCCCGGCUAACUAUGUGCCAGCAGCCGCGGUAAUACGUAGGGCGAAGCGUUAUCCGGAUUUACUGGGUGUAAAGGGAGCGUAGACGGAUCUGCAAGUCUGGAGUGAAAAGCCCGGGGCUCAACCCGGCAGCUGUUUGGCAAUGACUGUGGAUCUAGAGUGCCGGAGAGGUAAGCGGAAUUCCUAGUGUAGCGGUGAAAUGCGUAGAUAUUAGGAGGAACACCAGUGGCGAAGGCGGCUUACUGGACGGUAACUGACGUUGAGGCUCGAAAGCGUGGGGAGCAAACAGGAUUAGAUACCC
Molecule: ribosomal RNA, 417 nt
Filed under: uncultured bacterium
Lineage: Bacteria
Description: bacterial SSU rRNA
Rfam family: Bacterial small subunit ribosomal RNA
Source: RNAcentral